UACGUAGGGACCAAGCGUUGUUCGGAUUUACUGGGCGUAAAGGGCGCGUAGGCGGCAAUUCAAGUCAGUUGUGAAAUCUCCGAGCUUAACUCGGAACGGUCAACUGAUACUGUUUUGCUAGAGUGCAGAAAGGGCAACCGGAAUUCUUGGUGUAGCGGUGAAAUGCGUAGAUAUCAAGAGGAACACCUGAGGCGAAGGCGGGUUGCUAGGCUGACACUGACGCUGAGGCGCGAAAGCUAGGGGAGCAAACAGG
Molecule: ribosomal RNA, 253 nt
Filed under: uncultured bacterium
Lineage: Bacteria
Description: partial 16S ribosomal RNA
Rfam family: Bacterial small subunit ribosomal RNA
Source: RNAcentral